RNAcentral lists this ribosomal RNA (253 nucleotides) under uncultured bacterium. RNAcentral's name for it is "partial 16S ribosomal RNA". It matches the Rfam family "Bacterial small subunit ribosomal RNA", at positions 524 to 776 of the family's 1533-position model. The record is from RNAcentral.
UACGGAGGGAGCUAGCGUUGUUCGGAAUUACUGGGCGUAAAGCGCACGUAGGCGGCUUUGUAAGUUAGAGGUGAAAGCCCGGAGCUCAACUCCGGAAUUGCCUUUAAGACUGCAUCGCUAGAAUCAUGGAGAGGUGAGUGGAAUUCCGAGUGUAGAGGUGAAAUUCGUAGAUAUUCGGAAGAACACCAGUGGCGAAGGCGACUCACUGGACAUGUAUUGACGCUGAGGUGCGAAAGCGUGGGGAGCAAACAGG